ACGAACGAACUACAUCGGGACGCUUUGGCCGCCGAGCGAAAAAAAAAACACCAUUGAGCUCGACCUCAGAUCAGGUAGGAGUACCCGCUGAACUUAAGCAUAUCAAUAAGCCGGAGGAAAAGAAACAACAGGAUUGCCCCAGUAGCGGCGAGUGAAGCGGCAAGAGCUCAGAUUUGAAAUCGUGCUAAUUUUUUUGGCACGAGUUGUAGAGUGUAGGCGGGAGUCUUUGUGGAGCACGGUGUCCAAGUCCCUUGGAACAGGGCGCCUGAGAGGGUGAGAGCCCCGUGGGGUGCCGUGCGAAGCUCUGAGGCCCUGCUGACGAGUCGAGUUGUUUGGGAAUGCAGCUCCAAGUGGGUGGUAAAUUCCAUCUAAGGCUAAAUACUGGCGAGAGACCGAUAGCGAACAAGUACUGUGAAGGAAAGAUGAAAAGCACUUUGAAAAGAGAGUGAAACAGCACGUGAAAUUGUUGAAAGGGAAGGGUAUUGGGCCCGACAUGGGGAGUGCGCACCGCUGUCUCUUGUAGGCGGCGCUCUGGGCGCUCUCUGGGCCAGCAUCGGUUCUUGCUGCGGGAGAAUGGGUGCCGGAAAGUGGCUCUUCGGAGUGUUAUAGCCGGCGCCAGAUACCGCGUGCGGGGACCGAGGACUGCGGCUUCUGUCUCGGAUGCUGCACAACGGCGCAAU
This 680-nucleotide ribosomal RNA is filed under the name Pichia membranifaciens. Its description in RNAcentral is "LSU rRNA". It matches the Rfam family "Eukaryotic large subunit ribosomal RNA", at positions 1 to 643 of the family's 3401-position model. Lineage: Eukaryota; Fungi; Ascomycota; Pichiomycetes; Pichiales; Pichiaceae. The record is from RNAcentral.